Molecule: long non-coding RNA, 365 nt
Filed under: Phasianus colchicus (ring-necked pheasant)
Lineage: Eukaryota; Metazoa; Chordata; Aves; Galliformes; Phasianidae
Description: lncRNA (ENSPCLG00000020062.1)
Source: RNAcentral
UGGAUUUCUACUGCCUGGGCCAGAUGAGAACCAGGAGGCCAGGCACAACUGCCCACUGUUCUGAGAGGCAGAGAAACUCUCCAGCAAAGGAAAGGGAUUAUUUUCCUACUCUCAUUUUCUUGACAGAACUUUGGACAAGCAGGGCAAAAGCCUGAAUACCUACGGGUGUUAUGAUACUGCUGCAGACAAAAUUCUCUGCAUACAUUCAGACGUGGAAACAAUACUUCAGGACAUGGUUGCAUGCAUAAAUAUGAACAGUCAGCAUCCCUGGAGGAAUCUCAAAGCCCUGGACAAGCAUCGAUUAACCAGGGCACAACACAGGGAGAAGACCACUCACAGAAAAACAGGUACCCAUGGGAGUUGGC